UGGGAACGCGAAGAACCUUACCUAGACUUGACAUCUCCUGAAUUACCCUUAAUCGGGGAAGCCCUUCGGGGCAGGAAGACAGGUGGUGCAUGGUUGUCGUCAGCUCGUGUCGUGAGAUGUUGGGUUAAGUCCCGCAACGAGCGCAACCCUUAUUGUUAGUUGCUACCAUUUAGUUGAGCACUCUAGCGAGACUGCCCGGGUUAACCGGGAGGAAGGUGGGGAUGACGUCAAAUCAUCAUGCCCCUUAUGUCUAGGGCUACACACGUGCUACAAUGGCUGGUACAGAGAGAUGCUAAACCGCGAGGUGAAGCCAAACUUUAAAACCAGUCUCAGUUCGGAUUGUAGGCUGAAACUCGCCUACAUGAAGCUGGAGUUGCUAGUAAUCGCGAAUCAGAAUGUCGCGGUGAAUACGUUCCCGGGUCUUGUACACACCGGGUCUUGUACACACCGGGUCUUGUACAC
RNAcentral lists this ribosomal RNA (462 nucleotides) under uncultured bacterium. Its description in RNAcentral is "bacterial SSU rRNA". It matches the Rfam family "Bacterial small subunit ribosomal RNA", at positions 954 to 1420 of the family's 1533-position model. The record is from RNAcentral.